UCCAAGAUCUGAGCUCUAACUUCAUCCCCUUUGACGAUGAUGAAGAGGAGGUGGAAGAAGAGGAAGAGACAUAUGAUGACAUUGAACGAGCUACCACACCACCACCACCACGUCCUGGGCCAGCAUCUGCUCCAGUUACAACCCCGAGUCUGGGACAAACCCCCCAAAGCAGCCGCAAGGAAUGGAAGGACCAAGCAGAGGCUCAGGAAGAUGAAGAAGAGGAUGAAGAGGACAUUUAUGAAGUGCUUCCAGAUGAUGAAAAUACUGACAAUGCUGAAGAGUGGAGUGAAAAGCCUGGGUCUUCAGAUUAUGCAAAUUAUUACCAAGGCUUGUGGGAUUGUGAAGCUGAUAGACC
This 355-nucleotide long non-coding RNA is filed under the name Sinocyclocheilus grahami. RNAcentral's name for it is "lncRNA (ENSSGRG00000040583.1)". Lineage: Eukaryota; Metazoa; Chordata; Actinopteri; Cypriniformes; Cyprinidae. The record is from RNAcentral.